RNAcentral lists this unclassified non-coding RNA (337 nucleotides) under soil metagenome. Its description in RNAcentral is "partial contains 5.8S ribosomal RNA, internal transcribed spacer 2, and large subunit ribosomal RNA". The stretch from base 1 to 120 matches the Rfam family "5.8S ribosomal RNA", at positions 35 to 154 of the family's 154-position model. The record is from RNAcentral.
GAUGAAGAACGUAGCGAAAUGCGAUAAGUAGUGUGAAUUGCAGAAUUCAGUGAAUCAUCGAAUCUUUGAACGCACAUUGCGCCCUUUGGUAUUCCUUAGGGCAUGCCUGUUCGAGCGUCAUCUAAACCUUCAAGCCCUGCUUGGUGUUGGGUGCCUGUCCCGCCUCCGCGCGUGGACUCACCUCAAAUCCAUUGGCGGCCCCCGCGUCGGCCACGAGCGCAGCAGAAACGCGAACUCGUGAGCCCGUCCGGGCGGCUCCCAGAAGCUAACCCCCAAUUUUUGACCUCGGAUCAGGUAGGGAUACCCGCUGAACUUAAGCAUAUCAAUAAGCGGAGGA